Long non-coding RNA from Apis mellifera (honey bee), 794 nucleotides. RefSeq lists it as uncharacterized. NCBI's taxonomy places the organism in Eukaryota, Metazoa, Arthropoda, Insecta, Hymenoptera, Apidae. The transcript is spliced from 2 exons. The record is from RefSeq and is a predicted model, not a curated record.
AACCAAGGUAUAUUUUAAACUAUGCUAAGAUCAAUGAUAUUUUUAAAUACUUUUAAAAAAAUGAUAAAUAUAAGAACGAUACAUAACAAUCAAAAGCUUAAAAAUCAUAUUUAAACGAUACCUCAUCGUCGAACAAAACAUUUAUAAGGACGAGAAACGAGGGACAACCCCUGGAAUGGAUUCACUUUCUCAAGACGCGAUAUUAAAAUUACAAUUUACUUAUCAAACUAAUGAUACAUCAUCCCCACAACGUAAUACCAAAGCCUGUGAAACGUUUGAAUAAUGGAACGACGACGAUAUUACAAUAAUAAUCUCAAUUAUCCGACAAGUAGCCCUGUGCACUGUGCAUCAUUCAUGGACGGGAGAUGAAAACAAUUCCACCGAGACGGAGAGAGAGAGAGAGACAGAGAGAACGCGAUACAAUAAUAACAAUCAAAAUUUUCGACUCUCCACGGAUAUCGAUCUUCGACGACGCAAAAACAUUUCCAUCGAAAUAUAAUUGGAACGAGCUUCCUCGACGAUUCUUUGUAAUAAAAAAAAGAAUAAUAAAUAUUGCUGAUUACACUUGAAUGUUUUUACGAAAAAUCCUCGAUUAUUAUUAUUGAUCAUCGAACGCUUGGAUUGGAUAUAUCGGAAAUAAAAUAUUUAACAAAUUGUAAUUAGGGAAAUAACGUUUUUGAAUACCAACAUAUGAUAAAUAAGAUAACUGUAUCACGUUACGAAACUCGGAAGAUAAAAUUCCAUGUAAUAAUAAAAUUUUUGACAAAUAUAUCGAAACUGAUAACACUAACCAA